GUACCAGUAUAUGGCUCAGUUGAUUAGAGUGUGGUGCUGAUAACACCAAGAUUGCAGGUUCAAUCCCUGUAUGGGACA
Molecule: non-coding RNA, 78 nt
Organism: Podarcis lilfordi (Lilford's wall lizard)
Lineage: Eukaryota; Metazoa; Chordata; Lepidosauria; Squamata; Lacertidae
Source: the annotation of a GenBank genome assembly